CCAUGAGCUCAGACGGAACGGAUGCGCGAUGACGAGCGCAUGGUACGCACCUAUGUAAAACGGAUCGUAUCGUGGUGCGUGCUCGCAAGAUCCAGUACUCACGUCGCAAACAGGCAAGAGUGAGUUGCGAACCUGCGUGCAGAUGGAUUACGAAAUAGCGAGUGUGCAAGUCGCCCUUUCGCCCUAAUAAGCCCGUCUUGGUCUAGGAUAGGGUUAAGAGAAAGUAACUUGCUGGAUUUUAGGAGAGUCUUUUUCGCAGACAGACUACUAAGCUCAUCCGGAAAUAGCUCGGAUUGCAUUCUUCUCAACCAAAGGAAUUUUGCUCUCUGAAUCUCGUCGGGUUGAAGAGGAGGCACUGCUAUUAGUGACUUAAUGGUGAGAGCACUGAUUGAGUUGGGAUAUUUUCCACUUCCCAGAAGCGGCGAAGAUCUGCAUCGAGAUUUUCUAACAACGUAG
This is a long non-coding RNA of Osmia bicornis bicornis, 456 nucleotides long. RefSeq lists it as uncharacterized. The transcript is spliced from 3 exons. The record is from RefSeq and is a predicted model, not a curated record. Lineage: Eukaryota; Metazoa; Arthropoda; Insecta; Hymenoptera; Megachilidae.